CCUAGCAGUCGUAGUAGUAGUGGUCGUAGUACCAAGUCAGUACCUGGUCAGUACCUGGAUGGGAAACUGCCUGGGAACACCGGGUGUUGUUGGCU
Molecule: ribosomal RNA, 95 nt
Filed under: Eptatretus burgeri (inshore hagfish)
Lineage: Eukaryota; Metazoa; Chordata; Myxini; Myxiniformes; Myxinidae
Source: RNAcentral